CUGAAGAGUUUGAUCCUGGCUCAGAUUGAACGCUGGCGGCAUGCCUUACACAUGCAAGUCGAACGGUAACGCGGGGCAACCUGGCGACGAGUGGCGAACGGGUGAGUAAUAUAUCGGAACGUGCCCAGUUGUGGGGGAUAACUGCUCGAAAGAGCAGCUAAUACCGCAUACGACCUGAGGGUGAAAGCGGGGGAUCGCAAGACCUCGCGCAGUUGGAGCGGCCGAUAUCAGAUUAGGUAGUUGGUGGGGUAAAGGCUCACCAAGGCGAC
RNAcentral lists this ribosomal RNA (269 nucleotides) under Prymnesium parvum. Its description in RNAcentral is "partial Bacterial small subunit ribosomal RNA". It matches the Rfam family "Bacterial small subunit ribosomal RNA", at positions 1 to 277 of the family's 1533-position model. The record is from RNAcentral. Lineage: Eukaryota; Haptophyta; Prymnesiales; Prymnesiaceae.